GACAGAGGGUGCAAACGUUGUUCGGAAUUACUGGGCGUAAAGCGUGUGUAGGCGGCCUUGCAAGUCGGAUGUGAAAGCCCCGGGCUCAACCCGGGAAGUACACCCGAUACUGCUAGGCUCGAGUACCGGAGAGGUUGGUGGAAUUCUCGGUGUAGAGGUGAAAUUCGCAGAUAUCGGGAGGAACACCUAUGGCGAAGGCAGCUCGCUGGGACGUUACUGACGCUGAGACGCGAAAGCGUGGGGAGCAAACAGG
This 253-nucleotide ribosomal RNA is filed under the name uncultured bacterium. Its description in RNAcentral is "partial 16S ribosomal RNA". It matches the Rfam family "Bacterial small subunit ribosomal RNA", at positions 524 to 776 of the family's 1533-position model. The record is from RNAcentral.